AAAGUGUUGACUCUACGCAGCGCUAACAGAACCUAAACGUUUGCUUGUGGUGUGUUUUCAGUACAUUGACCAGUGGAGUGAUGGCUGGAACAGAAACGGUUCCCCAUGUAGCCAUAAGUGGUGCACUAAUCAGAGACCAGGAUGCCAUUUUACCCAGCCUCUCCUCCAGUGAGGGGGGGAAUAGUACCUAAAGGGUGUCUAAUCCAGUGAGAGGGGCCGAAACCUAAGAUGUCUGACUUGAAUAUCUGUCGUGUUGGGACUUGCCCGGAGAAAUGAAGUUUUAGAGAGAAUACUUGUCCUGUUGCAUGAAAUGAGUUUUUCCACUGAAUCAAGUUGUCAGGGACCCCCGGCCGUUCCAUGUGUUUGAUAUAUUGCAGAGCUGACACACCCCAGUCAACUCUGGGGGUCCCUGAGGAGAGGUUUAAACCCCCUGCUGUAGGGAGUCCCUGAGGAGAGGUUUAAACCCCCUGCUGUAAAGAGUCCCUGAGGAGAGGUUUAAACCCCCUGCUGUAGGGAGUCCCUGAGGAGAGGUUUAAACCCCCUGCUGUAGGGAGUCCCUGAGGAGAGGUUUAAACCCCCUGCUGUAGGGAGUCCCUGAGGAGAGGUUUAAACCCCCUGCUGUAGGGAGUCCCUGAGGAGAGGAGUCCCUGAGGAGAGGUUUAAACCCCCUGCUGUAGGGAGUCCCUGAGGAGAGGUUUAAACCCCCUGCUGUAGGGAGUCCCUGAGGAGAGGAGUCCCUGAGGAGAGGUUUAAACCCCCUGCUGUAGGGAGUCCCUGAGGAGAGGUUUAAACCCCCUGCUGUAGGGAGUCCCUGAGGAGAGGAGUCCCUGAGGAGAGGUUUAAACCCCCUGCUGUAGGGAGUCCCUGAGGAGAGGUUUAAACCCCCUGCUGUAGGGAGUCCCUGAGGAGAGGUUUAAACCCCCUGCUGUAGGGAGUCCCUGAGGAGAGGUUUAAACCCCCUGCUGUAGGGAGUCCCUGAGGAGAGGAGUCCCUGAGGAGAGGUUUAAACCCCCUGCUGUAGGGAGUCCCUGAGGAGAGGAGUCCCUGAGGAGAGGUUUAAACCCCCUGCUGUAGGGAGUCCCUGAGGAGAGGUUUAAACCCCCUGCUGUAGGGAGUCCCUGAGGAGAGGAGUCCCUGAGGAGAGGUUUAAACCCCCUGCUGUAGGGAGUCCCUGAGGAGAGGUUUAAACCCCCUGCUGUAGGGAGUCCCUGAGGAGAGGUUUAAACCCCCUGCUGUAGGGAGUCCCUGAGGAGAGGAGUCCCUGAGGAGAGGUUUAAACCCCCUGCUGUAGGGAGUCCCUGAGGAGAGGUUUAAACCCCCUGCUGUAGGGAGUCCCUGAGGAGAGGUUUAAACCCCCUGCUGUAAGGAGUCCCUGAGGAGAGGUUUAAACCCCCUGCUGUAGGGAGCAGACAGUGGCAUAUCUCCCAGGGUUUGUGUCCCACAAUGGCACUAUAUUCCCUAUCCUGUGCACUAUUUUUCAACCAGGACCCAGGGCACUAGAUAGGGAAUAGGGUGCAGACCCAGUAACAUGGAAACAUAGUGAAGCAAACCACUGAUCUGAAUAAAACAAUUUAUGACUGUAUUAACCAACACUGUGUGUCCCAAAUGGCACCCUAUUCCCUAUAUAGUGCACUACUUUAGACCAGAGCCCUUUUCCCUAUAUAGUGCACUUCUUUUGACAAGAGCCCUAUUCCCUAUAUAGUACACUUCUUUUGACAAGAGCCCUAUUUCCCUAUAUAGUACACUUCUUUAGACAAGAGCCCUAUUCCCUAUAUAGUGCACUACUUUAGACCAGAGCCCUAUUCCCUAUAUAGUGCACUUCUUUUGACAAGAGCCCUAUUCCCUAUAUAGUGCACUUCUUUUGACAAGAGCCCUAUUCCCUAUAUAGUGCACUUCUUUUGACAAGAGCCCUAUUCCCUAUAUAGUACACUUCUUUUGACAAGAGCCCUCCCUAUUCCCUAUAUAGUGCACUACUUUUGACUAGAGCCCUAUUCCCUAUAUAGUGCACUUCUUUUGACAAGAGCCC
This is a long non-coding RNA of Oncorhynchus keta (chum salmon), 2026 nucleotides long. RefSeq lists it as uncharacterized. NCBI's taxonomy places the organism in Eukaryota, Metazoa, Chordata, Actinopteri, Salmoniformes, Salmonidae. The transcript has 6 exons. The record is from RefSeq and is a predicted model, not a curated record.